CAGUCGCCGCGGUAAUACGUAGGGUGCGAGCGUUAAUCGGAAUUACUGGGCGUAAAGCGUGCGCAGGCGGUUCGUUAAGACAGAUGUGAAAUCCCCGGGCUUAACCUGGGAACCGCAUUUGUGACUGGCGAGCUAGAGUAUGGCAGAGGGGGGUAGAAUUCCACGUGUAGCAGUGAAAUGCGUAGAGAUGUGGAGGAAUACCGAUGGCGAAGGCAGCCCCCUGGGCCAAUACUGACGCUCAUGCACGAAAGCGUGGGGAGCAAACAGGAUUAGAGACCCCAGUAGUCCCUGUCUCUUAUAC
Molecule: ribosomal RNA, 301 nt
Filed under: uncultured bacterium
Lineage: Bacteria
Description: partial 16S ribosomal RNA
Rfam family: Bacterial small subunit ribosomal RNA
Source: RNAcentral